GAUGAACGCUAGCGGCAGGCCUAACACAUGCAAGUCGAGGGGCAUCAUGGCGUAGCAAUACGCUGAUGGCGACCGGCGCACGGGUGCGUAACGCGUAUGGAACCUACCCACCGCAGGGGGAUAACCCGCCGAAAGGCGGACUAAUACCCCAUGGUUCCCCGACCCUGCCUGGGGUUGGGGGUAAAGCCUACGGGCGGCGGUGGAUGGCCCUGCGUGCCAUUAGCUGGCUGGUGGGGUAACGGCCCACCAGGGCGACGAUGGCUAGGGGGUCUGAGAGGACGAUCCCCCACACUGGUACUGAGACACGGACCAGACUCCUACGGGAGGCAGCAGUGGGGAAUUUUGGACAAUGGACGCAAGUCUGAUCCAGCAAUACCGCGUGCAGGACGAAGGCCUUCGGGUUGUAAACUGCUUUGUUACGGACGAAAAGCCUUACUUCUAAUACAGGAGGUCAUGACGGUACCGUAAGAAUAAGACACCGGCUAACUACGUG
This 493-nucleotide ribosomal RNA is filed under the name uncultured bacterium. RNAcentral describes it as "bacterial SSU rRNA". It matches the Rfam family "Bacterial small subunit ribosomal RNA", at positions 28 to 507 of the family's 1533-position model. The record is from RNAcentral.